Molecule: non-coding RNA, 265 nt
Filed under: Clostridium cellulovorans
Lineage: Bacteria; Bacillati; Bacillota; Clostridia; Eubacteriales; Clostridiaceae
Description: T-box sequence
Rfam family: T-box leader
About the family: Uncharged tRNA acts as the effector for transcription antitermination of genes in the T-box leader family. T-boxes are found upstream of many aminoacyl-tRNA synthetase genes and some amino acid biosynthetic genes usually in Gram-positive bacteria.
Source: RNAcentral
AUAAAUGCAAAGAAGAGGAAAGUAGCUUUAAGAAUACUUUUACAGAGAGUUUCUAUUGGUGAGAGGAAGCAAAGGAUAUUAAAGUGAAAAUGGCCUUGGAGUGAUGCACCGAGAUUUUUAUUAUAAAAAUUAAGGCUGCAACGGGUUCACCCGUUAUAGUGAUAGAGUAUAAUCAUAUGGUUUAUAUGACGUACUUGAUGAGGUGCAUAUUGUGAGAUAUGUAUGAAGUAGGAUGGUAACACGGAGUUUAACUCUCGUUCCUAAG